AGCAGCCGCGGUAAUUCCAGCUCCAAUAGCGUAUAUUAAAGUUGUUGCAGUUAAAAAGCUCGUAGUUGAAUUUCGAGAUCAGUACGCUGGUCGUGCCUUCGGUAUGCACUGGUGUCACUGGUUUCUCCCUUCUGAAGAACCGUCAUGUCAUUAAGUUGGUGUGGCGGGGAAUCAGGACUGUUACUUUGAAAAAAUUAGAGUGUUUAAAGCAGGCUCGCGCUUGAAUACAUUAGCAUGGAAUAAUGAAAUAGGACGUUUGACCCUAUUUUGUUGGUUUCUAGGACCGACGUAAUGAUUAAUAGGGAUAGUUGGGGGCAUUAGUAUUCAAUUGUCAGAGGUGAAAUUCUUGGAUUUAUUGAAGACUAACUACUGCGAAAGCAUUUGCCAAGGAUGUUUUCAUUAAUCAAGAACGAAAGUUAGGGGAUCGAAGACGAUCAGAUACCGUCGUAG
RNAcentral lists this ribosomal RNA (450 nucleotides) under uncultured Glomeromycotina. RNAcentral's name for it is "SSU rRNA". It matches the Rfam family "Eukaryotic small subunit ribosomal RNA", at positions 569 to 1023 of the family's 1831-position model. Lineage: Eukaryota; Fungi; Glomeromycota. The record is from RNAcentral.